UACGUAGGGUGCAAGCGUUGUCCGGAAUUAUUGGGCGUAAAGAGCUCGUAGGCGGUCUGUCGCGUCGGCUGUGAAAACCCAGAGCUCAACUCCGGGCCUGCAGUCGAUACGGGCAGACUGGAGUUCGGCAGGGGAGACUGGAAUUCCUGGUGUAGCGGUGAAAUGCGCAGAUAUCAGGAGGAACACCGGUGGCGAAGGCGGGUCUCUGGGCCGAUACUGACGCUGAGGAGCGAAAGCGUGGGGAGCGAACAGG
This 253-nucleotide ribosomal RNA is filed under the name uncultured bacterium. Its description in RNAcentral is "partial 16S ribosomal RNA". It matches the Rfam family "Bacterial small subunit ribosomal RNA", at positions 524 to 776 of the family's 1533-position model. The record is from RNAcentral.